UGAGUAACCUGCCCCAGACUCUGGAAUAACCCCGGGAAACCGGAGCUAAUACCGGAUACGAGACGAAGCUGCAUGGCUAUCGUCUGGAAAGUUUUUCGGUCUGGGAUGGACUCGCGGCCUAUCAGCUUGUUGGUGAGGUAAUGGCUCACCAAGGCGACGACGGGUAGCCGGCCUGAGAGGGUGACCGGCCACACUGGGACUGAGACACGGCCCAGACUCCUACGGGAGGCAG
RNAcentral lists this ribosomal RNA (232 nucleotides) under uncultured bacterium. RNAcentral's name for it is "partial 16S ribosomal RNA". It matches the Rfam family "Bacterial small subunit ribosomal RNA", at positions 118 to 351 of the family's 1533-position model. The record is from RNAcentral.